Molecule: ribosomal RNA, 372 nt
Filed under: uncultured bacterium
Lineage: Bacteria
Description: bacterial SSU rRNA
Rfam family: Bacterial small subunit ribosomal RNA
Source: RNAcentral
AUUGAACGCUGGCGGAAUGCUUUACACACGCAAGUCGAACGGCAGCACGGGGCAACCUGGUGGCGAGUGGCGAACGGUGAGUAAUACAUCGGAACGUGCCCAAUCGUGGGGAUAACGUAGCGAAAGUUACGCUAAUACCGCAUACGAUCUACGGAUGAAAGCGGGGGAUCGCAAGACCUCGCGCGAGUGGAGCGGCCGAUGUCAGAUUAGGUAGUUGGUGGGGUAAAGGCUCACCAAGCCAACGAUCUGUAGCUGGUCUGAGAGGACGACCAGCCACACUGGAACUGAGACACGGUCCAGACUCCUACGGGAGGCAGCAGUGGGGAACUUUUGGACAAUGGGCGCAAGCCUGAUCCAGCCAUUCCGCGUGCA